Molecule: RNA transcript, 921 nt
Organism: Carlito syrichta (Philippine tarsier)
Lineage: Eukaryota; Metazoa; Chordata; Mammalia; Primates; Tarsiidae
Gene name: sugar transporter SWEET1-like
Exons: 2
Source: RefSeq, a predicted model, not a curated record
AUGGAGGUGGGCGGUGUGCUCAACUCGCUCCUUUUCAAAGUAUGCGUGGUCUUCACCCUCGGCAUGUUCUCCCCCGGCCCACCCUAUUACUACUCGGACCUCAGGUACCUUUGGACGACCUGGAGCAUGGACAAUGUCCAGUUGCUGCCCUUUCUCACCACCGAAGUCAGCAACCUGAGCUGGCCGAGUUAUGGGGCCUCGAAGGGAGACGGGAUCCUCUUUGUGGUCAAUGUGGUGGUUGCUGCACUUCACGCCCUGUAUAUCUUGGUGUACUUGCACUCAGAAGCAUGUUGUGCUCCUACAGACUGCAGUGCCGUUAGGGGUCCUUCUCUAGGGUCAUGGCUACUUUUGGCUCCUGUGCCCGAUCCUGAGGCCCGCCUUCAGCAGCUGGGUCUCUUCUGCAGUGUCUUCACCAUCAGCACGUACCUCUCACCACUGGCUGACUUGGCCAAGGUCGUUCAGACAAAACCCAACCAGUGUCUCUCCUUCUCACUCACCAUGGCCACACCCUUCUGCCUCCUGGACCCUCUGUGGCUUAUGACUGAGAGAUCCCUACAUCAUGUUCUUGUGAUUUCAGGUGCCCAACUCUCCAGCCAUCGUCACAAGUUUAUCUGCCUCUGGCUUUUCUGGAAGUGGCCCCAGGAGCAAGACAGGAAUUGUCAGCUCCUGCAAACCAGAAGCAGCUCACCUGACCACUAGGCACCUUAAUGCCAACUUGAUGCCAAAGAGAACUCCUUGUUUCAGCUGGUCCCACUGGCCAGCUCCCCAGGCGCAGUGGGUUGUGGGAACAAGAGAUGACUUGGGAGAACAGAGGGACCAAAGAAAGAGCUUUACUUAGAUGAUUGGGUGGAACCUAGGAGAUGAAAUCACUUUUAGUUUUUAGAGAUUUUUAAAAUUUUGGGUGUUGGGGUGAUAUCUUUA